Equus asinus (donkey) is the source of this 1945-nucleotide long non-coding RNA. NCBI's taxonomy places the organism in Eukaryota, Metazoa, Chordata, Mammalia, Perissodactyla, Equidae. The record is from Ensembl.
AUUGAAAUGGCAAAAGAAUAAAAAUCACAAAAUGCAGACCUGAGAGAGAAGGUCUGGGGAGAGAUGAGAGAUACCCGUUUGCAAAAGCCUUGGUACAGAACGUGUUCACAUAGCCACCAGGACUUUGCCCAGCGCCUGCAUUUCCCUACCCAGGAGGCCCACAGGCAGUUCUCCUGGGGAGCCUUCCACAGCAACCUUUCUGUGACGUCACACGCCAGUGCUGUCUUAGCUACACGAGCGGAAUGCACAGUCCCCGACCGUGUUAGUUCUGGAGUGGCUUAUGGGAUGUGGACCCCUCCUUGUCCGCCCCUCCUUAACCAUACCAGGUCCAUUUCUAAUGGCAUUGCUUUUCCCCUACAUUAUUUUCAAUAGGAUAUUUUGGUUCUUCUGUGGAAUACUAUGGUAAAAAUGAAAAGAAAAUUUUUCUUAUUCCAGUAAGGACAAAUCGGGACAAGUCAGGAGCCUCAGAAAAUCUCAAUAGGAGAGAAACUCCAGUUUUCAAUUCCUGGAUGCCUAUCAGAGAUUUCAGCUCUUGCCUCACAUAGUUACAAGGAGGAAUGCUUUGUGGGGACACCAAUCUGAGCUAAGGCCUCUUGGAAGCACAUGGCCCGAUGGAGGAGGGACUGCGAGCUGCGGCUGGGAAUUGCUGACAUGAAUUACUGCUGCGUAUUCCAAAAGUCCGCUGAACCAAGGGGGAGCCAGGCGCUGGAGAGAGGGUCUGUCGUCUUCCUCACAACGUUUCUAGAUCUACAGAUGGCGAUGAGGAAGUGGUGCGCUUAUUUUUCAUAUUUUCUGAUAAGGUGCCAACAGAACUGACUUGCCAUUUUAAUGUAUGUCAUCUUUCCUGCAGUCACUGAGUGGCCUCGGACGGCUGUGGUUGAUCACUGGGGGCGAGCUGGACCCUCGCCCUUGAACAAAGUGCAGGGCCAGCGUCCUGGAGCCCGCCUUCCUUACAUUAACCACCCUUGGGAGGGCUGACCCCAGGGCAGUGGAGGGUUCUGCAGCACCCUUCUGAGGUGGGGAGGCACUGGCACCCAGCCAGCUUCCAAGGUGGACCCCUGCUGGAGGGAUGGAGAACAGGAAAGAAGAGGCUUGGAACAGACAGAAUUCUCACCCCGAGGCACACAGGCGAACCUGGCUUGCAUCCGUAGAACUCCCUGCCAAUCAGAGCUUGACUCCCCUCUCUUCUCCACCAAUCAAAGCUUGCACCACGGCAUCCUCCCCAACUCCCCAGCCAAUCAGAGCCUGACUCCCCGCUCCUCCCCACCAGUUAAGGCCUUGCACACUGCAAGCUCCCCUACCAAUCAGAGCCAGGCUCCCCUCUCCUCUCCACCAGUCAGGGCUUGUGCUACCUCAAACUCAAUUCCUCUGCCAAUCGGAGCCCAGCUACCCACAGCUGCAGAUAAAGAAAGAAUGGCCUUGUCAUCGAAGCCUGCAUGCAUUCACUGCGUCCUCCAGCUUGGUGAUUAAUGGAGCGCCCUCCACACAGCUGACCACUUCAUUGGUCAAUAAGGGUCCGAAACAUCACAGGAAUAAACUGAAAACAUGCGGCUUUAACUCAGAUGUUCGUGGGACUCCUGACAUUGCAGGUUAUAGGCUGCAUGAAUUGCCUCAGCUUCUGACAGCUGCAUCUCAAGACGACACCCCUACCCAGAGCAGCCCACAUCCAAUGAUGGAUCAAGCCAGGGUAUGGAGACUUGGCCAUCUCAGCCCAAAUUAGGACCACUCUGGAAAGGCUUCUGGCUCCAGAGAUCCCUAUGGGUUGGCCAAAGCUGUACGUGAGCUGUGCCACAGCUCCACUUCUCCCUCUGCCCACGCUUGCUUUGGGCGCCUCUCUUCCACAAGUGUUGGUCUCAAGGACACUGCUGUAUAAACAUCCUGCACGCUAAAUGCCACUUCAGAGCCCACUUUCCAGGGAACCGAGCCUGCAGAGAAAUGGUGCCAG